AACAUAGCCCUAGGUAGAAAUAUAGGGUAAUACCUGCUCAAUGAAUAGUAUUUUAAUAGCCGCGGUACCUUGACCGUGCUAAGGUAGCAUAAUCAGUUGACUUUUAAAUGAAGUCUGGAAUGAAGGGAAAAACGGGAUUAAACUGUCUCUUGUUUUUUAUUAUGAAUUUACUAAUCAGGUGAAAAGGCCUGAGUAAGAUAAAGGACGAGAAGACCCUUAGAGUUUUUUAAAAUAUUUUGUUGGGGCGACAAAGAAUCAAAUUAACAUUCUUAUAUAUUAUAGGACGGAUUUAUCAUGAAUAGAUAAACUACCUGAGGGAUAACAGCAUUAUCUUUUAAGGUUUGUGACCUCGAUGUUGGACUAGGAAGCCUAUAGGCUAGCCGCUUAUAUGGGGGGUUCUGUUCGAACUUUCUCUCCUACGUGA
RNAcentral lists this ribosomal RNA (424 nucleotides) under Mariaglaja inornata. Its description in RNAcentral is "partial 16S ribosomal RNA". It matches the Rfam family "Archaeal large subunit ribosomal RNA", at positions 1904 to 2672 of the family's 2987-position model. The record is from RNAcentral. Lineage: Eukaryota; Metazoa; Mollusca; Gastropoda; Cephalaspidea; Aglajidae.